AAAGUUCUGUGACACUUAGACUCUGAA
This 27-nucleotide non-coding RNA is filed under the name Xenopus laevis (African clawed frog). RNAcentral also lists the same sequence under 1 other name. Lineage: Eukaryota; Metazoa; Chordata; Amphibia; Anura; Pipidae. The record is from RNAcentral.